AUUUUGGAUUGUUUAUUGGAAUCCCCAUCUAUUGAGUAUUUAUUUUCUAUUCCACACGCAGGAAGGUUUCUGUAGGCCGUAACCUGGGCUCAGACCUCCAUUCUGCUUUCAGGCUCUUUGGGGUGAAUUGAAGGCCGACUGGAGACCAGCACGGAUCGGCCUGAUUGAUGUCAAAUCCCAAAAAGUCAGCUCAGUGCGUCCACAGGCUAAAUGUUUCCACAGUACUGGGAAAGUAUGCAGCGGGAGCCAUAUGAGGAGAGACCCCCUGCGCUUGUUCACUUGCACGGUGAGAUGGGACCACUUAACGUAACAACUGACAAAACGCCCAUCUUCACGCUUCAACUGCCUUGUAUGCCUGACCUUUUCACGGAGCGGCCGACCAGAAACACCCGCGUCCUUCAUUCCUCCAUUCACUCAC
Molecule: non-coding RNA, 418 nt
Organism: Pelobates cultripes (western spadefoot toad)
Lineage: Eukaryota; Metazoa; Chordata; Amphibia; Anura; Pelobatidae
Source: the annotation of a GenBank genome assembly